Molecule: transfer RNA, 85 nt
Filed under: Enterobacter hormaechei
Lineage: Bacteria; Pseudomonadati; Pseudomonadota; Gammaproteobacteria; Enterobacterales; Enterobacteriaceae
Description: tRNA-Thr(cgt)
Source: RNAcentral
CGGUCUGGCGGUAGGGCGUGCGUCCGGCUUCGUGGGCCGCGCGAUGGAACGCCUGCUUGACGGGUUCUACACCCUUUCCGACCAG